UAGUCUUUUCCAUCAUCAACUUAAAUAUCCAGAAAAUUUGAAGACAUUUAGCUAUGUAAGGCAAUACUGUUCUGUAUAUAAAUAUAUACAAGAUAGUGUAUGAAUGUUUAGCAAACAGAAAGAAGAAGAGUAAAAAGAAGAUAGUGUGUGAAUAUAUGUAAUGAGAUCUUAUCGUCAAUCGUUAUGGCCAAAGAAGAUAACGAACUCUGGACAAAAACUUCGCACUCACAACCGUACGUCACUUAAAUUUUCGAAUUGGGGUAGGGACUUUUUUUUGACAUCUUGGGGUAGGGACUUAAAUAACUAAAGUCCGAACAUUUUUAACUCAUCUGUUUUUUUUUUUGGUUGAAACUCAUUUGUUUUUACACUUUUAUUUAAAUGCUAAGCAAGUUUCUUACUGGGCAAAUGUCCAAAAUAGCACUUUUCUAAGUUUAUAUCACAAAAAUAGCACUCAAAAACUAAAAUGACCAAAAUAGCACAUUUCUAAGUUUAUAUCUUAUCCCCAAAACCUCAUUUCUCAAUUCUAAACUUUACAUCCUAAACUCUAAACCCUAAACCCUAAACUCUAAACCCUAAACCCUAAACUCGAAACCCUAAAUCCUAAACUCGAAACCCUAAACCCUAAACUCUAAACCCUAAACCCUAAACCCUAAACCCUAAACCCUAAACCCUAAACCCUAAACCCUAAACUCUAAACCCUAAACCCUAAACUCUAAACCCUAAACCCUAAACCCUAAACCCUAAACCCUAAACUCUAAACCCUAAACCCUAAACCCUAAAUCAUAAACCCCACCCUUUAACUCUAAACUCUAAGUUUGUGACUUUUGAUAAAACAUUAAGUGUUAUUUUUGUGACUUUUGACUUUGAGUGCUAGUUUGGAAACAAAAACUUGAUUUAGUGCUAUUUUUGUUUUUUUUUCUUUCUUACUUCAUUAAAAAUAUAGUGAUAACGAUUCAAAAUUCAUCAGUUUA
This 971-nucleotide long non-coding RNA is filed under the name Brassica napus (rape). RNAcentral's name for it is "long non-coding RNA (BNAP_LNC025964)". Lineage: Eukaryota; Viridiplantae; Streptophyta; Magnoliopsida; Brassicales; Brassicaceae. The record is from RNAcentral.